This 154-nucleotide non-coding RNA is filed under the name Oreochromis niloticus (Nile tilapia). RNAcentral's name for it is "Eukaryotic large subunit ribosomal RNA". It matches the Rfam family "Eukaryotic large subunit ribosomal RNA", at positions 3007 to 3161 of the family's 3401-position model. The record is from Rfam by way of RNAcentral. Lineage: Eukaryota; Metazoa; Chordata; Actinopteri; Cichliformes; Cichlidae.
GUCAUUACUAUAGCAAUCCUGUUCAGUACGAGAGGAAUUGCAGGUUUAAACAUUUGAUGUAUGUGUUUGGCUGAGGAGCCAAUGGUGCGAAGCUACCAUCUGCAGGAUUGUGACCGAAAGCCUCUAAGUCAGAAUCCUGCCUAGAUGCAGUGAU